Molecule: long non-coding RNA, 639 nt
Filed under: Salmo trutta (river trout)
Lineage: Eukaryota; Metazoa; Chordata; Actinopteri; Salmoniformes; Salmonidae
Description: lncRNA (ENSSTUG00000018850.1)
Source: RNAcentral
CUUAGCCAAUCGAAAGUAGACCUGGUGUUCGAAACACAAAGUUAUUUUGGUAAGCGGGUGCUACCUAGAUUUUGGUAUUUUCGAGACGGAAUUGAUAAAUGUUUUCUACAUAUAGCUAGCUAAUUGCAAAGUGAGCAGCAAAGAUGGUGCUUCACCUUGAUAAAGAGCAUGCACUGUUGGAAUGGGUUAACCACCUGAAUGUGGACCUCCCGGUGCGGAGCAUCAACGAUUUACAGGAUGGCGUUUUGUUGAUGAAGCUCGUCUAUAAACUGAGAAAGGAAGAGCCCGCUAAUUCCUAUUUGGACCAGCAUGUCCAGGAGAGGCUGAAAGUGGUCUCUGACUUCCUGCAAGGUGAGUCACACUCACUGAUCACUAGUCAUGGGGGGGGGGGGUGUAGUUUUCCCCCAUAGACACAUGGCUAAUAGUCCUGCCGUUGUGUUUUUUCCAGGUGACUGUAGGUGCAGCACAGAACGGGGAGCUCUCAUCUCCUGGGACAACAUCAGCAAUGGACUAAACCUGGAGGUGGAGUUAUCCAAGGUAUCAGGUUCAUACACCUGGGUUUUAUUCACUGACCAAAUGUGUCUCCAGUACAAGUAUACAUCAUGAAUUGAUGGAUGGAAUGCUCAGAGACCACUGCAC